CAAAGGUUCCCUCAGAAUGGUUGGAAAUCAUUCAUAGAGUGUAAAGGCAUAAGGGAGCUUGACUGCGAGACCUACAAGUCGAGCAGGGUCGAAAGACGGACUUAGUGAUCCGGUGGUUCCGCAUGGAAGGGCCAUCGCUCAACGGAUAAAAGCUACCCCGGGGAUAACAGGCUUAUCUCCCCCAAGAGUUCACAUCGACGGGGAGGUUUGGCACCUCGAUGUCGGCUCAUCGCAUCCUGGGGCUGUAGUCGGUCCCAAGGGUUGGGCUGUUCGCCCAUUAAAGCGGUACGCGAGCUGGGUUCAGAACGUCGUGAGACAGUUCGGUCCCUAUCCGUCGUGGGCGUAGGAAAUUUGAGAGGAGCUGUCCUUAGUACGAGAGGACCGGGAUGGACAUACCUCUGGUGUACCAGUUGUCGUGCCAACGGCAUAGCUGGGUAGCUAUGUGUGGACGGGAUAAGUGCUGAAAGCAUCUAAGCAUGAAGCCCCCCUCAAGAUGAGAUUUCCCAACUUCGGUUAUAAGAUCCCUCAAAGAUGAUGAGGUUAAUAGGUUCGAGGUGGAAGCAUGGUGACAUGUGGAGCUGACGAAUACUAAUCGAUCGAAGACUUAAUCAA
RNAcentral lists this ribosomal RNA (612 nucleotides) under Staphylococcus aureus. Its description in RNAcentral is "partial 23S ribosomal RNA". It matches the Rfam family "Bacterial large subunit ribosomal RNA", at positions 2311 to 2925 of the family's 2925-position model. Lineage: Bacteria; Bacillati; Bacillota; Bacilli; Caryophanales; Staphylococcaceae. The record is from RNAcentral.